This 310-nucleotide ribosomal RNA is filed under the name uncultured bacterium. Its description in RNAcentral is "partial 16S ribosomal RNA". It matches the Rfam family "Bacterial small subunit ribosomal RNA", at positions 503 to 807 of the family's 1533-position model. The record is from RNAcentral.
AAGAGACAGCAGUCGCCGCGGUAAUACAGAGGGUGCGAGCGUUAAUCGGAUUUACUGGGCGUAAAGCGUGCGUAGGCGGCUUUUUAAGUCGGAUGUGAAAUCCCUGAGCUUAACUUAGGAAUUGCAUUCGAUACUGGGAAGCUAGAGUAUGGGAGAGGAUGGUAGAAUUCCAGGUGUAGCGGUGAAAUGCGUAGAGAUCUGGAGGAAUACCGAUGGCGAAGGCAGCCAUCUGGCCUAAUACUGACGCUGAGGUACGAAAGCAUGGGGAGCAAACAGGAUUAGAUACCCCUGUAGUCCCUGUCUCUUAUAC